GCCUGAGUAGCUCAGUUGAUAGCGCAUCAGACUUUUAAUUUGAGGGCCUAGGAUUCAAGUCCCUGUUCAGGUG
Molecule: transfer RNA, 73 nt
Filed under: Chelonia mydas (Green sea turtle)
Lineage: Eukaryota; Metazoa; Chordata; Testudines; Cheloniidae
Rfam family: tRNA
About the family: Transfer RNA (tRNA) molecules are approximately 80 nucleotides in length. Their secondary structure includes four short double-helical elements and three loops (D, anti-codon, and T loops). Further hydrogen bonds mediate the characteristic L-shaped molecular structure. tRNAs have two regions of fundamental functional importance: the anti-codon, which is responsible for specific mRNA codon recognition, and the 3' end, to which the tRNAs corresponding amino acid is attached (by aminoacyl-tRNA synthetases). tRNAs cope with the degeneracy of the genetic code in two manners: having more than one tRNA (with a specific anti-codon) for a particular amino acid; and 'wobble' base-pairing, i.e. permitting non-standard base-pairing at the 3rd anti-codon position.
Source: Rfam by way of RNAcentral